CCCUGAUUCAGCUCAUGAAGAACAGUUCAGAAAUCAACUUCAAGCAGGACUGGAAAGUUAUCACCCUUUUCAUUGGAGCCAAUGAUCUCUGCGAGUACUGUAUGGAUAAGGAAACGUAUUCUGCAGAUAAUUACGUGAAGCAUAUUGAGGA
This is a long non-coding RNA of Carcharodon carcharias (great white shark), 151 nucleotides long. RefSeq lists it as uncharacterized. NCBI's taxonomy places the organism in Eukaryota, Metazoa, Chordata, Chondrichthyes, Lamniformes, Lamnidae. The record is from RefSeq and is a predicted model, not a curated record. The transcript has 3 exons.